This is a long non-coding RNA of Tyto alba (common barn owl), 666 nucleotides long. RefSeq lists it as uncharacterized. NCBI's taxonomy places the organism in Eukaryota, Metazoa, Chordata, Aves, Strigiformes, Tytonidae. The transcript is spliced from 2 exons. The record is from RefSeq and is a predicted model, not a curated record.
GGAGAGAUUGGCUAUGUCAAGGAGGAGGCCAGGGUGUACCAUGCUUGCUUAAUGGAGUGAUGAGUUGGCAAUGUGAAGGAAAGUGUGUGUUUGGGAUGAGCAGAAGGGGAGAAGGAGCCUGUCUGAGAAUAACAGCUUGCUCUGAAAACCCAACAGCAUCGGGUACUCACUUUGUCUGGCUUCUUCCUCGAAUGUCGUGGGUACCACCAUGGGACAGCACGGCAGUGACGGGUGCGUGCCCCGGGCUCUGUUGCUGCACAUCUGCACACCCGGCUGCACUUCAGCACCGCGACUCUCGUGGGAGCAUCACCCACAUCACCCAGCAACAAAACUGCUGAGAAAACCCCCUUGCUUGCUUGGCCAAGGCAUUUUACUCUAAUCCCUUAUUGCCUUUGGCCUCCAGCCUCCAUUAGAUCAAGAAGCCACACCGGGAUGGAAGUACCUCAGGUGUCACGUCCACUGUGCAUCGCCGCUCUGCUCCGAGUCGGGGCUCUGUGGGUGCUCCUGCCCUGGCCUCACCUACCAGAAAAUGGAGUCCAGUUGGGAAAAUCCCCCAAAUCCGCACUCAGAAGAGACUUGGCAGAAUUAGAACCAAAAAUAAAGGAAGCUUUGGUUUAAAAAAUGAAUAAAUAAAUAAAUCACUUUGCCCCCACGCAGCUGAACUUA